GGACGAUAAAGGCAAAUCCUGAGUGAUCAGGGGGCGCAAAGGAAAGGGUCUUUUGUAGGGGCGUAUUGCAUACGCCCUCAUUGCAGGAAGAUAGCCUUACUGCGGAA
Molecule: non-coding RNA, 107 nt
Filed under: Candidatus Brocadia
Lineage: Bacteria; Pseudomonadati; Planctomycetota; Candidatus Brocadiia; Candidatus Brocadiales; Candidatus Brocadiaceae
Also listed under: 1 other name
Description: c-di-GMP sequence
Rfam family: c-di-GMP-I riboswitch aptamer
About the family: GEMM was predicted in a large-scale screen for bacterial structured RNA regulatory elements. Genes associated with GEMM are involved in a diverse array of functions, including chemotaxis regulation, signal transduction, secretion and chitin.
Source: RNAcentral